This 483-nucleotide ribosomal RNA is filed under the name uncultured bacterium. RNAcentral's name for it is "partial 16S ribosomal RNA". It matches the Rfam family "Bacterial small subunit ribosomal RNA", at positions 28 to 507 of the family's 1533-position model. The record is from RNAcentral.
AUUGAACGCUGGCGGCAUGCUUUACACAUGCAAGUCGAACGGCAGCGCGGGCUUCGGCCUGGCGGCGAGUGGCGAACGGGUGAGUAAUGCAUCGGAACGUGCCCAGUAGUGGGGGAUAGCCCGGCGAAAGCCGGAUUAAUACCGCAUACGACCUGAGGGUGAAAGCGGGGGACCGAAAGGCCUCGCGCUAUUGGAGCGGCCGAUGUCGGAUUAGCUAGUUGGUGGGGUAAAGGCUUACAAGGCGACGAUCCGUAGCUGGUCUGAGAGGACGACCAGCCACACUGGGACUGAGACACGGCCCAGACUCCUACGGGAGGCAGCAGUGGGGAAUUUUGGACAAUGGGGGCAACCCUGAUCCAGCCAUGCCGCGUGCGGGAAGAAGGCCUUCGGGUUGUAAACCGCUUUUGUUCGGGAAGAAAUCCUCUGGGCUAAUACCCCGGGGGGAUGACGGUACCGGAAGAAUAAGCACCGGCUAACUACGUG